Molecule: non-coding RNA, 84 nt
Organism: Bombyx mori (domestic silkworm)
Lineage: Eukaryota; Metazoa; Arthropoda; Insecta; Lepidoptera; Bombycidae
Source: Rfam
UUAGCUCAUAUUUGUAUGGAAUGGGAUCGUUUGCGUACGUUUACCGCUAGGGGCGCUGUUCCAACUGCAUACAAAAUUUGGCUA